AGUGAACGCUGGCGGUAGGCCUAACACAUGCAAGUCGAACGGCAGCACAGUAAGAGCUUGCUCUUACGGGUGGCGAGUGGCGGACGGGUGAGGAAUACAUCGGAAUCUACUUUUUCGUGGGGGAUAACGUAGGGAAACUUACGCUAAUACCGCAUACGACCUACGGGUGAAAGCAGGGGAUCUUCGGACCUUGCGCGAUUGAAUGAGCCGAUGUCGGAUUAGCUAGUUGGCGGGGUAAAGGCCCACCAAGGCGACGAUCCGUAGCUGGUCUGAGAGGAUGAUCAGCCACACUGGAACUGAGACACGGUCCAGACUCCUACGGGAGGCAGCAGUGGGGAAUAUUGGACAAUGGGCGCAAGCCUGAUCCAGCCAUACCGCGUGGGUGAAGAAGGCCUUCGGGUUGUAAAGCCCUUUUGUCGGGAAAGAAAAGCAGCAGGUUAAUACCCCGCUGUUCUGACGGUACCCAAUGAAUAAGCACCGGCUAACUUCGUG
RNAcentral lists this ribosomal RNA (492 nucleotides) under uncultured bacterium. RNAcentral describes it as "partial 16S ribosomal RNA". It matches the Rfam family "Bacterial small subunit ribosomal RNA", at positions 29 to 507 of the family's 1533-position model. The record is from RNAcentral.